This is a long non-coding RNA of Aphis gossypii (cotton aphid), 922 nucleotides long. RefSeq lists it as uncharacterized. The transcript is spliced from 3 exons. The record is from RefSeq and is a predicted model, not a curated record. Lineage: Eukaryota; Metazoa; Arthropoda; Insecta; Hemiptera; Aphididae.
GUCGGCUAUCUAGUAUUUUUAUAUAUCUGUGGAUCACGGUCUUAGAAGAUAAGGUCGGACAACUGAUUCAUUAUCAGCAUUCCGCUUAGUGAGGCAAAUUCAUUUCCAAAUGUUGCCACUUUACAAUUGAGCGCUACCUAUUACAGACGUUAUUUGAGGUUAUGGCGUUAUACUAGUUUAAUGCCCGGUGCGGAGGUGUGCCCGUAGACAAGUAUACAAGUGCCCCGGUUGCAUAAAAGCUUAUAAAAAAUAAAAAUCAUUCGUCGUUAAAUAGUAAAUACUUAAAUAUUAUGUAACAAUUAAUUAGCUCAUCGUGAUCGCACAUUAGUCAUUAGUGAUUUUAAAGAUUUGUUAAAUCAGUAUUCAUUUUUAAAAUUAAAAUAACCAUGAAAGCAUGAACCCAAUUCCCAAACAUCAAAUCUGUGACGAUGAGUUCAAAUACGUGUGUGGAUGAAGAAUAUUUGAUAAAACUGUUUUCAAUUGUUUUGAUGAAAUUGAAAAAGUAAAUGUUUGGGUGUAUCAAUCGUCCUUUAGUUUUCAUGUUAACUAAUGAAGCACACAUUUGUUCGGAAUAAACUUGUGGUGUUACAAAAGCUGACUUACAAGUAUUGCAAUCACCAAUGUAUUUCAAUAUUUGUUUGGAUAGAUACCCUAUAAAAGAACUAUUCAAAUAAUUUGAGAGAUCAAGAGUUGAUUGGAUUGUAACUCUCAAACCACAAGCUGUGCUACUGGUUAAAAAUUCAGAUUUUUUUAUUUUUCCAUCGAUAUAUUCCUUUUCCCAAUCAUUUAACCAAGUCAAAAAGGAAUGAAGAAACUGUAUUAUAUCCAGUACAUAAACAAACAAAAACAAUGAAGUAUGAUUAGUUAAUUAUUAAAUAAUAAUUUAUUAACUAAGUAUAAUAAAUAUUAAAUUUGUAUUGCA